AUGUACUUUGGAUUGAUGUUUAUU
This 24-nucleotide non-coding RNA is filed under the name Arabidopsis thaliana (thale cress). The record is from RNAcentral. Lineage: Eukaryota; Viridiplantae; Streptophyta; Magnoliopsida; Brassicales; Brassicaceae.